Molecule: ribosomal RNA, 253 nt
Filed under: uncultured bacterium
Lineage: Bacteria
Description: partial 16S ribosomal RNA
Rfam family: Bacterial small subunit ribosomal RNA
Source: RNAcentral
UACGUAGGACCCGAGCGUUGUCCGGAUUUACUGGGUGUAAAGGGCGUGUAGGUGGGCGCCUAAGUCGAUGGUGAAAUCCUGCGGCUCAACCGUAGAAUUGCCGUCGAUACUGGGCGUCUUGAGUACGGCAGAGGGAGAUGGAAUUCAUGGUGUAGCGGUGAAAUGUGUAGAUAUCAUGAAGAACACCGGUAGCGAAGGCGGUCUCCUGGUCCGUUACUGACACUGAGGCGCGAAAGCGUGGGGAGCAAACAGG